Molecule: ribosomal RNA, 441 nt
Filed under: uncultured bacterium
Lineage: Bacteria
Description: partial 16S ribosomal RNA
Rfam family: Bacterial small subunit ribosomal RNA
Source: RNAcentral
CCUACGGGAGGCAGCAGUGGGGGAUAUUGCACAAUGGGGGAAACCCUGAUGCAGCGACGCCGCGUGAGUGAAGAAGUAUUUCGGUAUGUAAAGCCCUAUCGGCAGGGAAGAAGCAAGACGGUACCUGACUAAGAAGCCCCGGCUAACCACGGGCCAGCAGCCGCGGUAAUAAGUAGGGGGCGAGCGUUAUCCGGAUUCACUGGGUGUAAAGGGAGCGUAGACGGCAAUGCAAGUCAGAGGUGAAAGCCCGGGGCCGAACCCCGGGACUGCCCUUGGAACUGUGCGGCUAGAGUGCGGGAGGGGCAGGCGGAAUUCCUGGUGUAGCGGUGAAAUGCGUAGAUAUCAGGAGGAACACCGGCGGCGAAGGCGGCCUGCUGGACCGCGACUGACGUUGAGGCGCGAAAGCGUGGGGAGCGAACAGGAUUAGAUACCCCUGUAGUC